GAUGAACGCUGGCGGCGUGCCUAAUACAUGCAAGUCGAGCGAACGGACGAGAAGCUUGCUUCUCUGAUGUUAGCGGCGGACGGGUGAGUAACACGUGGAUAACCUACCUAUAAGACUGGGAUAACUUCGGGAAACCGUAGCUAAUACCGGAUAAUAUUUUGAACCGCAUGGUUCAAAAGUGAAAGACGGUCUUGCUGUCACUUAUAGAUGGAUCCGCGCUGCAUUAUCUAAUUGGUAAGGUAACGGCUUACCAAGGCAACGAUGCAUAGCCGACCUGAGAGGGUGAUCGGCCACACUGGAACUGAGACACGGUCCAGACUCCUACGGGAGGCAGCAGUAGGGAAUCUUCCGCAAUGGGCGAAAGCCUGACGGAGCAACGCCGCGUGAGUGAUGAAGGUCUUCGGAUCGUAAAACUCUGUUAUUAGGGAAGAACAUAUGUGUAAGUAACUGUGCACAUCUUGACGGUACCUAAUCAGAAAGCCACGGCUAACUACGUG
This 497-nucleotide ribosomal RNA is filed under the name uncultured bacterium. Its description in RNAcentral is "partial 16S ribosomal RNA". It matches the Rfam family "Bacterial small subunit ribosomal RNA", at positions 28 to 507 of the family's 1533-position model. The record is from RNAcentral.